UACGAGGGGUGCAAGCGUUGCUCGGAAUUAUUGGGCGUAAAGGGUAGGUAGGUGGUCUCAUUUGUCUUAUGUGAAAUCCUUGGGCUUAACUCAAGAAGUGCGUAAGAAACGGUGAGACUCGAGUCCUAGAGAGGGUCGUGGAAUUCCCGGUGUAGCGGUGAAAUGCGUAGAGAUCGGGAGGAACACCAGAGGCGAAGGCGGCGACCUGGAUAGGUACUGACACUCAACUACGAAAGCGUGGGGAGCAAACAGG
RNAcentral lists this ribosomal RNA (253 nucleotides) under uncultured bacterium. RNAcentral's name for it is "partial 16S ribosomal RNA". It matches the Rfam family "Bacterial small subunit ribosomal RNA", at positions 524 to 776 of the family's 1533-position model. The record is from RNAcentral.